AUUGAACGCUGGCGGCAUGCUUUACACAUGCAAGUCGAACGGUAACAGGCCGCAAUGUGCUGACGAGUGGCGAACGGGUGAGUAAUGCAUCGGAACGUGCCCAGUCGUUGGGGAUAACUACUCGAAAGAGUAGCUAAUACCGCAUACGAUCUAUGGAUGAAAGCGGGGGACCUUAAGGCCUCGCGCGAUUGUAGCGGCCGAUGUCAGAUUAGGUAGUUGGUGGGGUAAAGGCUCACCAAGCCAACGAUCUGUAGCUGGUCUGAGAGGACGACCAGCCACACUGGGACUGAGACACGGCCCAGACUCCUACGGGAGGCAGCAGUGGGGAAUUUUGGACAAAGGGCGCAAGCCUGAUCCAGCAAUGCCGCGUGAAGGAAGAAGGCCUUCGGGUUGUAAACUGCUUUUGUACGGAACGAAACGGCUCUGGUUAAUACCCGGGGCUAAUGACGGUACCGUAAGAAUAAGCACCGGCUAACUACGUG
This 482-nucleotide ribosomal RNA is filed under the name uncultured bacterium. RNAcentral's name for it is "partial 16S ribosomal RNA". It matches the Rfam family "Bacterial small subunit ribosomal RNA", at positions 30 to 507 of the family's 1533-position model. The record is from RNAcentral.